Molecule: long non-coding RNA, 688 nt
Organism: Olea europaea var. sylvestris
Lineage: Eukaryota; Viridiplantae; Streptophyta; Magnoliopsida; Lamiales; Oleaceae
Exons: 3
Source: RefSeq, a predicted model, not a curated record
UGUCCCCCCAUUGGGUACCGCUUUGUGCGGUGAGGGAAGACACGCUGCUCUCGGAUGCACCAUUGGUGAGAAUCUCGAGCGGAGGGAUGUCCCACUUGGAAACAAUUAUCGGCUUUCCUCGACGACCCUCAUCUUGAAAUAAUAACUUAUUUGACACCGUCGAUGGAGGGGGAGGCCCAGGGUCCUAUGCGUGAAUUAGGCAUUCCGCACACCUAAGACGAUCAGAUGUUCGAUUCGAUCAACGAUCGAGACUGAGACCGUGAUCCAGUUGAUCGGGCAUCACCUCCGCCGCAGGCAUCACUUCUUCCCCCUCAGAGUCAUUAUUUUGAUGAUCUGUAUGCUCACCUGACUGGAUUUAUAGUGCAGGAGAUCGGCGCGCUGCGUCAAGAGCUGAUAAUAGUUAUAUUUGAGGAGGUUGGCGUGCUGCGUCGAGAGAUGGUAGAGAAGAUCGAUUAUCUAGGAUGCGAGUUAGUAGGGAGGGUCGAAGAUAUAUCCGAUGAUGUUAGAUUACUACGUGGCCAUUUAUGGGACCUUCAAGAGAUUACAGCACUCCGAGGUGAUAUAGUCGGUAAACGAUGGGGUGACGAAGGUGGCGACCGGGGUAGUAAUCGAGAGGAGGAUAGAAAUGGGGUCACCAGCAGUCGUGGUUAGAGGAUAUAUUGGAAUCCUUUUUAAAGUCCAUAGAGUG